CCAAUAGCGUAUAUUAAAGUUGUUGCAGUUAAAAAGCUCGUAGUUGAACUUCGGGAUCAAUGGAUCGGUCAUGCCAUCGGUAUGUACUGGUCUCAUUGGUUCUCACCUUCUAAGGAACCAUAAUGUCAUUCAUUUGAUGUUUUGGGGAAUUAGGACUGUUACCUUGAAAAAAUUAGAGUGUUUAAAGCAGGCUAACGCUUGAAUACAUUAGCAUGGAAUAAUGAAAUAGGACAUCGCAUUCUAUUUUGUUGGUUUCUAGGAUCGAUGUAAUGAUUAAUAGGGAUAGUUGGGGGCAUUAGUAUUCAAUUGUCAGAGGUGAAAUUCUUGGAUUUAUUGAAGACUAACUACUGCGAAAGCAUUUGCCAAGGAUGUUUUCAUUAAUCAAGAACGAAAGUUAGGGGAUCGAAGACGAUCAGAUACCGUCGUAGUCUUAACCAUAAACUAUGCCGACUAGGGAUCGGAUGAUGUUGAUUUUUUAAUGACUCAUUCGGCACCUUACG
This 500-nucleotide ribosomal RNA is filed under the name uncultured Glomeromycotina. RNAcentral describes it as "partial small subunit ribosomal RNA". It matches the Rfam family "Eukaryotic small subunit ribosomal RNA", at positions 591 to 1092 of the family's 1831-position model. The record is from RNAcentral. Lineage: Eukaryota; Fungi; Glomeromycota.